RNAcentral lists this long non-coding RNA (3841 nucleotides) under Mus musculus (house mouse). RNAcentral's name for it is "long non-coding RNA chr12:80498146-80501987". Lineage: Eukaryota; Metazoa; Chordata; Mammalia; Rodentia; Muridae. The record is from RNAcentral.
UUUUCUUACUAACGUUAUGAAAUCAGUAAGUAUUUUGGGGAGAGUUACUACUUCUUCUGCAGAGUCCCUGCCUCGUGGCAGUACUGUGAUACUUAUAUAGCAUGGAUACACCAUACACACUGCACCACAGCCUUUGGGAUGGGUUUGCAGUCCACAAACACUUGUGCGUUUUACACUCUGCCCCUCUGCCCUGCCUUCCCACCUGUCCUCUCAGGCGUUUCUGGAUCAAGUCUAGACAUCCAUAUAAACAAAUAGUACCAGCUUCUUUUGGGAAAUUUAUGUUUAAUAUAGUAGAUUAUCACAAAGCCUGCGGCACCUGGCUGUGGGAGCUCAGUGAAAAAGCCCAAAGAGGAAUGGGAGGCCAGCUCGGUUCUUGGCCAUGGUAGUUGUCAGGCUUCCACAAGAUGGCACUCAUAGAUUGGUUUUUAUAUCCAUCCUCAAGAAAUGAGCAACUUUGUAUACGUAGUCAUUUAAUAUGACUUGUGACCUGUGUUUCAAAAUAUUUGUAGCUAAUUUUGAGUCACUUCUAUAGCUUUAUAAGAAAACUUUUUUUCUGGAACAAGAGAGAUGGGUUCUCCUAGUCCUCCUGAUUUGCAUAGGAAGAAGUGAGAAAUACUGUGAGGGACAAUUAAGGUAUACUGGUUGCUAUGCACUCCAGUGGAGACCCCACAAGGUCCAGUGUAAGAGAGCCAUCAGCAAAGGGAAAGCUAGUCUGUGCAACUUAUGUCCUUUUAGCUUUUCAGAAGAGCAUUGCUGUGUAGAUUGGAAUCUAUAGUCUGAGUCUAUCUUGAAAUUUUGAGCCUUUCCCUACGAGUGAAAGUUGCCAUCUUCAAUGAGAAAUUUUAGAGUAAACCUAUUUUUCUGAUAUAAAAUACGCAAAGCCAGGUGUGGAUAGCACUUUUCUGUAGUCUCUAUGCAUGAGGAAAAAGCAGGAGGAUGUCGGAUUUGAUGCUAGCCUGGAUUACACAAUGAGUACAUGCUCAUUAGAGAAGAGCCUAAAGGAAAAGUAACAGUGGUCCAUCUCCCUUCCGUUUGGAACAGAGCUAGGCUUUGGUGAUGUGCUUAAGAAUCUUCAUUCCGCCAGGUUGGUGGCGCACACACACCUUUGAUUCCACCAUCCCAGUAUCUCAGCAUCCCAGUACUGGAAAGCAGAGGCAGGUAGAUCUCUGAGUUCAAGGACAGCCUGGCUUACAUAGUGAGUUCCAGGACAGCCAGAAGUAUAUAAAGAGACCCUGUCUCAAAAGAAAAAAUAUCAGUAUUUUAAAAUAUGUAUAUGUAUAAUAUUUAAAUUUAAAUAUAAAGUUAAAAUUAUCAUAUGUGUGUGCAUGCCUGUGUGUGUGUCUGAUGUUUGUAUGCAUCCUGGCUUUUUUCCCAUUUGCUAAUAUGGCAUCACCAAGUAAUUUACUUUAUCUUUAAGUCUUUGAAAAUAAAGUUCUAAAGUGUGCUGGCUCAUGGCUAUAAUCCUAGCCCUUGGCAAGUAGAGGCAGGAAGAUUAGAAGUUUAGGCUUAUCUUCAGCUACAUAGUAAGUUUAAGACUAUUUGAGCUACGUGAACCCUUGUCUCAGGACAAAACAAAACAACAGAAGACCAAUGAAUAUUAAUGUUAACAUGUUUCCAGUAGCUCUUAUUUGGUUAUGUAGCUCCACACUCUGUUCAAAAGCAUGGUUGUUUUGAAUCUUUCAUUGCCAGUUAUGGAGAUAAACUUUCUUGUAUAUUUCUGACUCUGUACUUGGUAAUUUCUUUAAGAUAGAACUCUGGAAACUGGAGUUGAGGGGAGGUGUCACUGUUGCAGUGGGCACUAAUUGAUGUUAGCUUGGGAGUAGCAUACACCUUAGAGAGUUCAUCUUUAGCUCCAAGCGUCCUGUAUAUGGAUUGAGCUAUUCUGUGAAUUGGGAUGGACCCUGUAUGCCCUGGCUCUCGUGUUAGUGGCUUUGGGCCCCUUCUUGCUUCCUCCUGUCUACCAUUCUUCAUUACUAUGUUCCCUUCCCUGCUUCUGCAGUCAGUGAUUUUUUUUUUUUUUUGGACAUAGUUUAUUAAAAAAAUUUUAAUGUAAAUUUUUCAAUUAAAAACUUUUUUAUUUUAAAAUAAGGUUAUAGAUGGAUUCUUUUAUGAAAAUAGAUCUGUGUUUAAUAACUUGCCAUUGUAAAGUGAAUGAAGCACACAUCCAGGGAUUUUCUACCAUUUAAGAAUACAGCCAUAAGUUACUUAUUCUUACCCAUGUCACGGACGGAUCAGAUGACAAAAUGUGUUUUGUUGAAAUAAAGCCCGCUUAAUACCCCCAUUCUCAGCUCUUAGGAACCCAGCAGGCAGAGACUACUUCAGUUUAGCUUCUUAUUUGACCUCUUUAAACAUUGAAUUCUGAUUUACCUUGCUUCCAGGAUUUUUUUUCCAUUUGUUUAUCUUUUAAUUUUCUUCACUAGGUCUCAUUUAAAAUGUACUUUACAUUUUUGUAUAUGGGCUGUUUGUAUGUGCAUGGGUUCAUGUAUGACAGACAAGCUCAGGAUAGUCCUCUCCUUCUGCUGUGAGAGUCCCUGGGAUCCAGCUGGCAUGGUGCUAAGUUUCCUCUUCCCACUGAGCCACUGAGCCUUCUCAUGGUUUAUUAAGGGACACUCCCCAAGAAUGGGAGUGAGCAAGUGGAGCCAGGGGAGCAAUUUCCCCCAAAGAUUUGAUAGCUUACUAAUUAUUAUGUAUUUGAAACGAAUGGGGAGGGGCAGGGGCCCUUCUAGUCACUUGCCUUGAGGGACUAAUUGAAGGUCAACCCAAACGUGCUGGAAAAUAAGCCUCUUGCUUUUGCAUCGAAAAGAAAAUAAAUGAUUCCCCCCUCCCCCACAUUGUUGUUGUUUUCAAAAAUUGUACAAUGGUAAUUUUUAGAUCUUAAAAAAAAUCCAUUUUUCUUGAGAGAAAUGUGCAAAAAGAGGCUAGAAAGAGGGUGAAUCUUGCUAAGACAACACAACAUGAGUAAUAUAAAACUACUUCAGCUUUUAUUUUGGAUCUAGCUUAUUCUUCUGACUCUUGCCAAGUUCCCUAUGUUGGACUCUUCCCAUCCCAGUCCUGGAGCACAGUGAUGGUGAUGCCAGCAGACAACCCAUGACCCACAGCAGCAGCACCCUUUCCUGCCUCCUGCAUGGAGAUGCAGUGGUGACCCGCUGAGGCCGCAUGCCAUUUGACAUGCUGGAAAGGCACUGAUCACAUUUCCUUGUUACUUUAUGGCCGUCUCUGAUUGGUGGUCCCAAUGCUCUGGGUAACUGGACCAAAUGGAUCAUUGUUUUAGAGAUAAUCAAGAUCUGACUUUCUCUAUAUGGGACUAAGGAAUGCUUCUAUAACCUAGUUUCUGCGACGUAGGUUGUGGCUUUGCUAAUGUAUAUGUUGCCUUCAAGGCCACUUUUUUUUUUUUAAAGAUUUAUUUACUUUAUUUAUGUGAGUACACUGUAGCUUUCUUCAAAGACACCAGAAGAGAGCAUCAGAUCUUAUCACAGAUGGUUGUGAGCCACCAUGUGGUUGCUGGGAAUUGAACUCAGGACCUCUGGAAGAGCAGUCGGUUCUCUUAACCUCUGAGCCAUCUCUCCAAGCCCUCAAGGCCACUUUUUAUUGUGAAAGGUAGUACAUCCUCCAAACUGAACCUAAAACACUUAAUUUCCAUUUCCUGGGAUUUCUCUCCCUUGAUGAAAAGGUAACUAGCUGCCUUUCUCUCAAUAUCACCCAUUGCUUUGGGCCUACAGUGAGGCAGAUGAUCAUAGCAGAGAGGGUAUGUAAAAUCUGUUUUCCUCAUGGUGGCUGAGAAAAGAUGGGAAGGGGCCAGGGGCAGGUGUAACAUCAGGUUGACACCAAUUAGUCAGAAUUC